GCUCCUCUGGAGUUGCAGGCGUACAUAGGCUACGGAGACUGCUUACCAUCAGGCGGGCCGUAUGCUUGUUUGCCACCGACGCAGUUUAAAAAAAAACAGUUUCCACUUAUAGGUAACACAAUUCUUGCUCUGAGAGAAACAACAUGCAUGCAU
Long non-coding RNA from Cydia strobilella, 153 nucleotides. RefSeq lists it as uncharacterized. NCBI's taxonomy places the organism in Eukaryota, Metazoa, Arthropoda, Insecta, Lepidoptera, Tortricidae. The record is from RefSeq and is a predicted model, not a curated record. The transcript is spliced from 2 exons.